UGUAUAAAUGUGUGUACAAAAAAGUCUACAAAAUGUUCAUUACAGUAAAAUCAGAUGAAAUAUUCCCAAUGAAUCCUCCCAUUGUUUGACAGAAUUGAGGACAUUGCCAACCCUUACGACUAUCCAAUGAUCAGCCAGGGUGAAAUUACUGUAAAGAGCAUCAAUGACGUGGAGGAAUUCAUUGCCACUGAUACCUGUGUCCAGAUCAUCCAGCCCUGCCACCCACCUGAUCAGCCAGCAACCUCUGACUGAGCGGUGCAACGGAUGCCACCCCCGGUCCAGGACUACUCCUGAUCUGUGGCACCUGAGCGAAACGGCUGGACGACAGCCUGAACUGGCAGACAGACCAUAAUCAAACCAAGGCUACAGCUACAGAGAGACAGCCAGGAUCAUCGGUGCUCUUGCCCACAGCCGCAUCAUCCAGUUGAAGGAAUUGGAAAAUGCCCACAAGGAGGCCGGAGGACUGGAAGCGUGCGCAGAACUGCCAGACCAACUGGACAAGCAAGUGACAGCGGAUGAAGAGGACAAGGAGCUACAGGAGGAAGUGGAAAGCUUCAAGAGGCCUUUACAAAACCUACACAGACACUGAGCAUAGAAAGCAGCUGGGGUAAAAGCCAGAGAGGCUCCAACAGGCUGAAGCUCUCUUAAGUAAUGGCCCAGGGGAAUCGAAACAACGCCUGUGAAUGCCACCUGCAAGCAGCCCAAGCUGAAACCCAAGUCCUUGGCUCAGCAACAAGAUAACCCAAACACCAAUCGGGUAAAGUCAAACAAAGCCAAGGUGACCUCAG
This is a long non-coding RNA of Cyprinus carpio (common carp), 788 nucleotides long. The record is from Ensembl. Lineage: Eukaryota; Metazoa; Chordata; Actinopteri; Cypriniformes; Cyprinidae.